Molecule: ribosomal RNA, 466 nt
Filed under: uncultured bacterium
Lineage: Bacteria
Description: partial 16S ribosomal RNA
Rfam family: Bacterial small subunit ribosomal RNA
Source: RNAcentral
GAUGAACGCUGCCAGAAUGCUUAACACAUGCAAGUCCACUUGAAUUUGGGUUUUUACCUUAGGUUUGGGUGGCGGACGGGUGAGUAACGCGUAAAGAACUUGCCUCACAGCUAGGGACAACAUUUGGAAACGAAUGCUAAUACCUAAUAUUAUGAUAAUAGGGCAUCCUAUAAUUAUGAAAGCUAUAAGCGCUGUGAGAGAGCUUUGCGUCCCAUUAGCUAGUUGGAGAGGUAACGGCUCACCAAGGCGAUGAUGGGUAGCCGGCCUGAGAGGGUGAUCGGCCACAAGGGGACUGAGACACGGCCCUUACUCCUACGGAGGCAGCAGUGGGGAAUAUUGGACAAUGGACCGAGAGUCUGAUCCAGCAAUUCUGUGUGCACGAUGAAGUUUUUCGGAAUGUAAAGUGCUUUCAGUUGGGAAGAAACAAAUGACGGUACCAACAGAAGAAGUGACGGCUAAAUACGUG